Carassius carassius (crucian carp) is the source of this 941-nucleotide long non-coding RNA. RefSeq lists it as uncharacterized. The record is from RefSeq and is a predicted model, not a curated record. Lineage: Eukaryota; Metazoa; Chordata; Actinopteri; Cypriniformes; Cyprinidae. The transcript has 5 exons.
GUGGAACCAUUUUUGAAAGAAAUAUCAGAGGGCCAACCACACUUUUUGUCCAGUGGAUUUCCUCCGAAGACGCAGAGUUUAUGCAGAUCAUUCUUGCACCUGAUGGUAAUGACAACCAUAAUAAAGAUGAUUAUAAUUCUGGGACUGUCAGCCCAUUGGAUCAACCUAGCACCUCUUAUGAACAUCUGGCAUCGUUCUCCCCUCGUUCAGAGCAGGAAGAGACUGUCCAGAAGACCAACCUUCAAACAAUACUGAGUCUCCUUUCAGCCAAGAUAGAUGAUGAUAGUCCCACUAGUAAUCAGAUCAAUGUUGUAAGGGAUUAUAAAGGCAAUACCCACAACAUACUGAGAAGCACUGUUCAGGCUUUUAGUCGGCGAUGAUUUAACCUCAGAGCUAGACUGGAUGUGAUUUUUGUUGAUGAUACAAAAGCGGCAGAGGGGGCUGUGGACGGUGGUGGUCCAACUAGAGAGUACCUCAGAUUGCUCCUUAAGGCUGUCCAACAGUCUAGCAUGUUUGUGGGCCCUGAAAAUAGUAAGAGGUUGCGGCUUGACAGUGAAGCUUUGCACAAAGGUCUCUACAGGCAGAUAUCUCAAAUGAUAUCAGUUUGUAUAAUUCAUGGAGGAAUGGGGCCACAUUUCUUUUCAGAAAAGCUCUUUCUCCAAGUUUGUGGUAAACCCACCCAUCCUGCAACCUUGGAUGAAGUAGAUGAUGAGACCUUUAAAGAAAUGCUUUGCAAAAUAAAAGAAGCCGAAACUCUUCCAGAAGCCAAAGCUGCCAUUGAUAUGGCAGAAGAUUGCCUGUCCAUAAUUGGAGCCUUUAGAUCCAUUAGUACUCUUAAGCAGCGGGACAUUCUGGUACAGUCAGCUGUGGAGUAUUAUGUUAAUGGGAGAUGCAAUGUUGCACUGCAACAGUACGUAGUAUCAAACACUUUCUUGUUUGUU